AGCUCUCGCUCCUUUGCUUUUCUGAAGACAAAGGAAUUCUCCGGUUGGAAUAUUAUUGAAGGUUUAUGUUUAAAACAUCCUAAAGAUUGAUUCCAUACAUCGUUUGACAUGUUUCUACGGACAGUAACGGAACUCUUUGACAUUUCGUCCGCAACUAGGGAACGCGCUUCAUGACUUUGGAUUUGUUAACCAAACGUGCUAACUAAAGUAGCUCUUUGGACAUAAAUGAUGGACAUUAUCGAACAAAUCAAACAUUUAAUGUGGAACUGGGAUUCCUGGGAGUGCAUUCUGAUGAAGAUCAUCAAAGUACCUAUGCUGAACACAUACUGUGUUGGAAUUCUGUACAGAGUGGAAAGGCAAAGACAUCAUGGAGGACGAGGACGCUUGUUUACAGAUGUACAAGAGACUGCAAUUAUAAAUAUGGUUUUGGCCAACAAUGCAAUUAGGAUUCAAGAGAUAAGAGAGCAUAUCUUGAAUAAUGACACCAUAUUUAACAACAUCAAUGCUGUAAGCCUGUCGACCAUACAACGCAUCCUCCAACGGCACCGAGUGACGAUGAAACAACUUUACAAGGUGCCAUUUGAGAGAAACUCUGACAGAGUCAAGAAUAUGCGACAUGACUUUGUAGAGAGAGUAUUGGAGCUGGGUGCCCAUGUAAUUCGC
Molecule: long non-coding RNA, 663 nt
Organism: Oncorhynchus tshawytscha (Chinook salmon)
Lineage: Eukaryota; Metazoa; Chordata; Actinopteri; Salmoniformes; Salmonidae
Source: Ensembl